UACAUAGGGUGCAAGCGUUGUUCGGAAUUAUUGGGCGUAAAGGGCGCGUAGGCGGUGCUGUAAGUCUGUAGUGAAAUCUCUGGGCUCAACUCAGAGUCUGCUAUAGAAACUGCAGUGCUAGAGUGUGGGAGAGGUGAGUGGAAUUCCCGGUGUAGCGGUGAAAUGCGCAGAUAUCGGGAGGAACACCGGUGGCGAAGGCGGUUCUCUGGGCCUGUACUGACGCUGAGGAGCGAAAGCGUGGGGAGCGAACAGG
Molecule: ribosomal RNA, 253 nt
Filed under: uncultured bacterium
Lineage: Bacteria
Description: partial 16S ribosomal RNA
Rfam family: Bacterial small subunit ribosomal RNA
Source: RNAcentral